CAGAUUUCAGCUUAGACGUUAUUCCCCAGGGAAGUCUUCCUGACCCUGCAAAUCAGGUGGUGCUCUAUUGAAUUCUAAUGCUGGAUGCUGUCAUGAAGAAGUCAGAGGCCAGCCUGGUGUGCCCGCCUUGCCAGAGUGGACUCCACUGUCUGCAAACAAGAAUACUGUGAAUAUGCCGACAAGCAAAUAAAUAUGCACACCGGGGAAACCAGGGGGUUUGCCCACGGUUCCCCAGUGGUGGAGCCAAGAUCCAAACCCAGGAGAGUGAGAAUCCAGAGCCAGCAUCUCCUCCUAGAUGCCACUGGAUCAGCGCCCCCUGCCUAGUGGGUUCAGUCCUACAGGGCUUGCUGGCCUCAGGUGACCAUCCAGUCUUCCAUCUUUCAUGUAGAAGAACACGAUUUCCUCUCCCCUUGUCAGGCGCACCGUUUGCAGGUGGCUGGGAAGGAAGCCUUUGCAUGUGGCACCCAGGCUCUUGAUCUCUUGCUGCGACUGCUGUACUAUCUUCCUGCCCUGAGGACUGCAAGGCGAUGGGAUUGUGUAUUUUUGUUAAUGUCAC
Molecule: non-coding RNA, 556 nt
Organism: Kogia breviceps (pygmy sperm whale)
Lineage: Eukaryota; Metazoa; Chordata; Mammalia; Artiodactyla; Physeteridae
Source: RefSeq, a predicted model, not a curated record